Cannabis sativa is the source of this 1696-nucleotide long non-coding RNA. RefSeq lists it as uncharacterized. The transcript is spliced from 2 exons. The record is from RefSeq and is a predicted model, not a curated record. NCBI's taxonomy places the organism in Eukaryota, Viridiplantae, Streptophyta, Magnoliopsida, Rosales, Cannabaceae.
UGUUUACUAUUCAGCAAUGUUAAACGAAUGCGGAAAGUUGGCAGUAUUUUCUUUUGGCUGCCGAUGCCAUUUGGGGAAUUUAAUUCUGGUGAAGUAAAGUUAUGUUCUGGAGUUCUUUGUCUUCUUCUAUUUUGUAUUUUUGUUCUUUUAAUGGUUGUGGGGUUAACUGUUUGGACCAAGACUACUAUGUUAAAAAUUAACAUGCCUAUACUUCUGAUACAAUCAGAGUAUAGGUUUCUGGAACCGUUGCGUAGAAAGGGGAUCCCUGGUUCAACUCUUCAGUAAUAAAAGUAAGUUCAGAUUAUUGAACUAUAGAGAGGCUGGAGUUCUGAUUUGCUGUAAAUUUCGUUUUUCAUCAUGACCAAGUUCAUCUUUUUUAUUUCUUGAACAUCUCUUAAGUAUUUACUUCUUUUUUCCACACAGCAUUUUGAGAAUUCUAGAGUCUCUAAUACUUCACUUUCACCAACAGCAGCAGUAGAAGUCCCUGCAGGUUAAUUUGACGAGAUUGAUUAGCUGACCACCGAGGAAGAUUGGUGAAUGCUAGUUUUCAUAAUCAUACGAAAAUUUCUCCCCAACAUAGUGACAAUAAAAAGACAUGCCUUUGCUUUCGGUUGAAUGGUCAUCGUUUCAAAACCAAAUUAUACCAGAUUCUCUAUGACCAGUUUGCUGCAAUGGAUGCUAUUCUAAAUGGGAAAGAUUCAUUUGCGCUCCAGGUAUUCAAGAAUGUGCUGGACAAAUAUUUGAGAGUAAAUUUUGUUGAGACUUUAGUAGCAGGGAUCAGAUGAGGUGUCUGUUGAGGCACACCACUUUAAGCAAAUUGAUCCCUCCAGAAUCUUAAGGUAGAAAAUCGAUGCAUAUUCACUGUAGAAACUUUUCUUCUCUUGCAAGAUAUUCUAUUAUUAUUAUUAUUCUUGCAUGUGAUAUAUAUUCACCAGUUUGUUUAUUUUUUAUUUUUUUGGUAGAAUUAAAAUCAUGGGCAACUUUGACUAGAGCUGUAAUGCUGUAUGAGUCGGAUGUCCACAUGAUAUCUAAAUUAUAGAUGAAAAAAUCUCUGUUCAGUUAUGAGAUCAAUUAAUCAGAAAUUUCUUGCAGUUUGGACAGUGCAUAUAUAUAACUUCAGUUUAUCUGUCAUGGAAAAAAAAAUGAUACUUUAUCACUAGCUUUCUUCAGUUGUUUGGUUUUUUGUUUAAUUUGAAAUCAUUUGAGGUUUAGGACCACAAACAGAAUAGGUUUGGUAGAAUAAUUGAGGAAAUGAUGUAUAAUGUAAGUAUAGGAUAGUACAAUAUAUGUGCCUUAUAAAAUCUGGAAUGAAAGGGACAUUAACCAUUUGUGGUUUAAGACCAUAAACAUGAUGUUUCUCUCUUUCAUUUCUUGUUAGUUGAUUGACUUAAUCUAAUUAAACUUAUUGGAAUUAGAUUAGAAAAAAGCAGGAAAAACAUCAUUUAAGUUUCGGAUUAGGAAUUGGUGAUGCAUAAAAACAUUUAAUUUGAAGGGAAAAAAGGAGAGAAAAGCACAGAAAAGGAGGAGUUGGGUAAUAAUUAGGACUGGAAGGAAAGAAAAGAGGCAAAAAGAAGUUUUGUGGAGAGGCAAGAUUCUCUUGUGGAAGAUGACAUAUGCGAGUAAGUUGUGAAAAGUAAGGAGGAGGGAAUAGAAGGGAAGCUUUUAGUUUGUCUGGUUGUGCAGCCAAAGUUUUUAU